Molecule: long non-coding RNA, 331 nt
Filed under: Medicago truncatula (barrel medic)
Lineage: Eukaryota; Viridiplantae; Streptophyta; Magnoliopsida; Fabales; Fabaceae
Description: long non-coding RNA (MTRU_LNC003669)
Source: RNAcentral
UGCUUGUUGUGCUCAUAUAAAUAAUAAUGUUUGCGCAAACUUGUAGUACAUAAGAGCGUGUUUGGUUUUAAGUUGCAAUCAUAAAGAACUCAACUCUAUAGAUUACAAUGGGUAUGGUUGUAUUGACUUGAAACUUUAGAUUGUGCUCUUCUCAAUCUCAAAGUUUGAGAUUUGAUUCUUACCUGAGUCAAUUUAGAUAGAUUAAUUUGACUUCUUAAGAAAAAAAAACUCAACUCUAUAGAUUCAUUCUAUUCCAGAGGAGCAUUUUAUACCUGAAAAAAACCGCUAUUCCAAAGGAACAUUUAUAUCGGAAAAGAACCGCAACCACUUG